Molecule: long non-coding RNA, 209 nt
Filed under: Elaeis guineensis (African oil palm)
Lineage: Eukaryota; Viridiplantae; Streptophyta; Magnoliopsida; Arecales; Arecaceae
Description: long non-coding RNA (EGUI_LNC019938)
Source: RNAcentral
CCUUCUCCCACUAUUCCUUUUUUUUCUCCUUGUCUUGCCUAAUUCUCUUCUUAAGCCCUUGUCCUAAAGUAGACCUUUAUCCCAAAGAGGACUUUAUCUUAACAAAAAAAAGAAGAGGAUUAUUGGAACAAUAGCAGAGAGGAUGUAAGAAAGAAAGGAUUGGAAUGAAUGAAUCAGAUACCUGACACACCACCCUAUUUAUAGAUGGC